CACGGAGGGUGCAAGCGUUAAUCGGAAUCACUGGGCGUAAAGCGCACGUAGGCGGCACGUUAAGUCAGCUGUGAAAGCCCUGGGCUCAACCUGGGAAUGGCAGUUGAUACUGACGCGCUCGAGUCUGAGAGAGGGGGGUGGAAUUCCAGGUGUAGCGGUGAAAUGCGUAGAUAUCUGGAGGAACACCGGUGGCGAAGGCGGCCCCCUGGCUCAUGACUGACGCUGAGGUGCAAAAGCGUGGGGAGCAAACAGGAUUAGAUACCCUGGUAGUCCACGCGGUAAACGAUGUCGACUAGCCGUUCGGUCCAUUUAAGGGCGGAGUGGCGCAGCCAACGCGAUAAGUCGACCGCCUGGGGAGUACGGCCGCAAGGUUAAA
This 376-nucleotide ribosomal RNA is filed under the name uncultured bacterium. Its description in RNAcentral is "bacterial SSU rRNA". It matches the Rfam family "Bacterial small subunit ribosomal RNA", at positions 524 to 898 of the family's 1533-position model. The record is from RNAcentral.